GGCCCGAUGGUCUAGCGGUAGGACACUCAUCUCUCAAUUAUCAGCCGGUUUUGGAUACAUUCAAACUCGCCUUUGACAACCCUCCGAGUUUGAGGUUGAGUACAGAUGAGAAUCCCCAGUUCGAAUCUGGGUCUGGCCA
Molecule: non-coding RNA, 139 nt
Organism: Pseudogymnoascus pannorum
Lineage: Eukaryota; Fungi; Ascomycota; Leotiomycetes; Thelebolales; Thelebolaceae
Source: Rfam